Molecule: ribosomal RNA, 233 nt
Filed under: uncultured bacterium
Lineage: Bacteria
Description: partial 16S ribosomal RNA
Rfam family: Bacterial small subunit ribosomal RNA
Source: RNAcentral
CGGGACGGGUGAGUAAUGUCUGGGAAACUGCCUGAUGGAGGGGGGUAACUACUGGAAACGGUAGCUAAUACCGCAUAACGUUGCAAGACCAAAGAGGGGGACCUUCGGGCCUCUUGCCAUCGGAUGUGCCCAGAUGGGAUUAGCUAGUAGGUGGGGUAACGGCUCACCUAGGCGACGAUCCCUAGCUGGUCUGAGAGGAUGACCAGCCACACUGGAACUGAGACACGGUCCAG